GCAGUCGGGCAUUUCGUCGCUCGCCGCCUUUUCGCGGCGUGAGGAAAGUCCGGGCAACACAGAGCACCAUACUUCUUAACGGGAAGCUGUUGGCAACAGCAGAGUAGCGUGACAGAAAACAACCGCCCGCACUCGUGUGGGUAAGGGUGAAAAGGUGAGGUAAGAGCUCACCGGGCGACAUAGUGAUAUGCCGCGCCGCACGCCUUAUGGGUUGCAAGGCCAAGUAUACCGGCAUUUAAGGGUUGCUCGCCCAUUGUCGGGGGGCUGUCUCGUAUACACAGCUGCCGCUGCCGACGACUAGUC
This 303-nucleotide RNase P RNA is filed under the name Paramuribaculum sp. RNAcentral's name for it is "partial RNase P RNA component class A". It matches the Rfam family "Bacterial RNase P class A", at positions 1 to 309 of the family's 367-position model. Rfam says of the family: Ribonuclease P (RNase P) is a ubiquitous endoribonuclease, found in archaea, bacteria and eukarya as well as chloroplasts and mitochondria. Its best characterised activity is the generation of mature 5'-ends of tRNAs by cleaving the 5'-leader elements of precursor-tRNAs. Lineage: Bacteria; Pseudomonadati; Bacteroidota; Bacteroidia; Bacteroidales; Muribaculaceae. The record is from RNAcentral.